GGGUAUUUGGCCGAGAGGUUAAGGCGUUGUGUUUAGGUUCCGGGACCCGAACAACAGGUUUGAGAUUCCACCCACCCGCAAUGGGUCCGCCCGCGCAGGUUCGAAUCCUGCAGUACCCA
RNAcentral lists this transfer RNA (119 nucleotides) under Ophiocordyceps unilateralis. It matches the Rfam family "tRNA". From Rfam's summary of the family: Transfer RNA (tRNA) molecules are approximately 80 nucleotides in length. Their secondary structure includes four short double-helical elements and three loops (D, anti-codon, and T loops). Further hydrogen bonds mediate the characteristic L-shaped molecular structure. tRNAs have two regions of fundamental functional importance: the anti-codon, which is responsible for specific mRNA codon recognition, and the 3' end, to which the tRNAs corresponding amino acid is attached (by aminoacyl-tRNA synthetases). tRNAs cope with the degeneracy of the genetic code in two manners: having more than one tRNA (with a specific anti-codon) for a particular amino acid; and 'wobble' base-pairing, i.e. permitting non-standard base-pairing at the 3rd anti-codon position. The record is from Rfam by way of RNAcentral. Lineage: Eukaryota; Fungi; Ascomycota; Sordariomycetes; Hypocreales; Ophiocordycipitaceae.